UGCGAGCCAUAUGGAACUUUUGGAAGGCUGGACUACAAACCUGGGGAGCUGCAGGCAUCCACAGAGGAAUUUGUCUCCGUUUACCCUCAGCCCACGUUUCCUUCCUCUGAGAAACUCAGGAGCCCAUUGUUGUUAUUUGCCUCCAAGCAAACAAGCAGCUGGAAAUGGCACAGACAGCCCUGCUCCAAGGAAAUGACUUCAGAGCGUUAUGGCAGACACAUAUCCCCCUACCAAGCACGAUCUCUAUUGACAUCAGACUGCUCAUCAACAGCGUUUGUCUCAUUCCCAUCGAAACAACUUACACAUGCUUUACCAGGAUUCUGUUGUAUGCAGGACCAUAGCAAGAUGUUUCUACUGAGAACCGUAGGUUUGUCUUUUCUGCUAUUGAACUGAAGAACUCAUUUGAAACCAACAUUUAUUAAUUCUCAGUCAUAAUCUCUCUGUCUCCUUUCAUUUCUCCCCAUUGCUCACAAGCACUUUCUCAGACAUGUUCUUCCUGUUUGCAUUCUGGCCAUGUUCUUCAUCGAUUUUGGGUGUUUUGUUUUUUUUUU
Non-coding RNA from Coturnix japonica (Japanese quail), 551 nucleotides. The record is from RefSeq and is a predicted model, not a curated record. NCBI's taxonomy places the organism in Eukaryota, Metazoa, Chordata, Aves, Galliformes, Phasianidae.